CCUACGGGAGGCAGCAGUGAGGAAUAUUGGUCAAUGGCCGGAAGGCUGAACCAGCCAAGCCGCGUGAGGGAGGAAGGCGCAGAGCGUCGCAGACCUCUUUUGCCGGGGGACAAAAGGCCGGACUCGUCCGGUCAUGAGGGUACCCGGAGAAAAAGCAUCGGCUAACUCCGGGCCAGCAGCCGCGGUAAUACGGAGGAUGCGAGCGUUAUCCGGAUUCAUUGGGUGUAAAGGGUGCGCGGGCGGGCCUUUAAGCCGGCGGUGAAAUCGGGGGGCUCAACCCCGCCGAGCCUUCGGAACUGGGGGGCUUGAGUGCGGCGGAGGCAUGCGGAAUGCGCGGUGUAGCGGUGAAAUGCAUAGAUAUCGCGCAGAACCCCGAUUGCGAAGGCGGCGUGCCGUGCCGCCACUGACGCUGAGGCACGAAAGCGCGGGGAUCGAACAGGAUUAGAUACCCCUGUAGUC
This 459-nucleotide ribosomal RNA is filed under the name uncultured bacterium. RNAcentral's name for it is "partial 16S ribosomal RNA". It matches the Rfam family "Bacterial small subunit ribosomal RNA", at positions 338 to 795 of the family's 1533-position model. The record is from RNAcentral.